Molecule: unclassified non-coding RNA, 110 nt
Filed under: Lacticaseibacillus rhamnosus
Lineage: Bacteria; Bacillati; Bacillota; Bacilli; Lactobacillales; Lactobacillaceae
Source: RNAcentral
AGCGCAAACUGGCGUAACGCCAGCGCGCGUUUCGAUGAAAUACGUUAAGUUCCGGCAAUGUAAACCAACAACAAUGAUAGCCAGUUUUGAGAGCGCAAAGUUCUCAUAAG